RNAcentral lists this long non-coding RNA (484 nucleotides) under Homo sapiens (human). RNAcentral describes it as "HSALNT0315872". Lineage: Eukaryota; Metazoa; Chordata; Mammalia; Primates; Hominidae. The record is from RNAcentral.
CUUUGGGGUUCCUGGUUCCAGGACUUGACUCUUGGAUGGCAUUUCGUGACCUGCCCUGGACCAAAGAGGUGCCCACUACCCUGAAGGAAUUGCAGAAUGAACAAGAAUUUCCCAACCAACUAUCUGCUGCUUUCAAGAGUCUCACCUGCCACAAAAUGACUCACAUAAACUUAAGGUAAUUGUGUCUCUGUACUACGUGACACUCCCAUUGGAUGCAUCCUCCAAUCUGGAAAGAGUUAAUUUCCUAAACCUUAAACUGGUUGGCUUAGUAUUGGGCUCAGGGGAAGGGAACCCAACAGUCAUGAAACUGGAGCCUCUGAUGAUUGUCCCUUCUGCUGGGAACCCUUAGAUAGGCCUCCGAGGGAGAUCUGACUGCCGUUUCCCCAGGACAGCGCCACCUAUCAACAGGAAACAGUGACAACAGUGAAUAGCAGAAGGAAGAAUAAUACAAUUUUUAAAAAGGAGACUCUAGAGAUGUCACAAA